CACAACCUUGAGUGAAUUUAUUAACCUGUUUGCCUGCCUUGACAUGAAAACAUCGCAGCCUGAAGUCCAUGAUUUUCAACCAGCAGUCAGUGUGGUUGGAGAAAUGGAAGCAAGAGUAUUGCUGGGUUGGAAAGGCUACCCAGAAUCUGCCAGGAGCUGUGGGUCUUGGUGUUCUCGAGUGUGAGCUAUUGUCCCCACCCUGGGGAUGACUGUGGUGAACCCUUGGAGAUGGGACAAGUGUUCCUAGCACAGGAAGUGCACCAUGAAGAACUGGGCUGCAGUAGCUUGUUAUGCCAAUGGAAACCUUACUAGUGGUGGUGACAAAGUCCAGGACAGAUCUGCAGAGGACAAGAAAGCAUUAAGGUGCAGUUCUCUAAGAGGACCCAGAACUGGAACCAGAACUCCAGGAGCAGCCUCAGCAAUGCAGAGUAGAUGGGAAAGAUCACCUCUCUUGCUGGUACCCGAGUCCGAUUUCAUUGGAAGUCCAUGAUAGUCAUAUCAACUCCACCAAUUUCAGAAGAGCUGAGGCCAGCUGCAGGACUGAUCCAACAUGCAAA
Molecule: long non-coding RNA, 557 nt
Filed under: Gallus gallus (chicken)
Lineage: Eukaryota; Metazoa; Chordata; Aves; Galliformes; Phasianidae
Description: lncRNA (ENSGALG00010011479.1)
Source: RNAcentral